CAGCCGCCGCGGGAAUACGUAGGUGGCAAGCGUUGUCCGGAAUUAUUGGGCGUAAAGGGCUCGCAGGCGGUUUCUUAAGUCUGAUGUGAAAGCCCCCGGCUCAACCGGGGAGGGUCAUUGGAAACUGGGAAACUUGAGUGCAGAAGAGGAGAGUGGAAUUCCACGUGUAGCGGUGAAAUGCGUAGAGAUGUGGAGGAACAUCAGUGGCGAAGGCGACUCUCUGGUCUGUAACUGACGCUGAGGAGCGAAAGCGUGGGGAGCGAACAGGAUUAGAUACCCGCGUAGUCCCUGUCUCUUAUAC
RNAcentral lists this ribosomal RNA (301 nucleotides) under uncultured bacterium. RNAcentral describes it as "partial 16S ribosomal RNA". It matches the Rfam family "Bacterial small subunit ribosomal RNA", at positions 509 to 807 of the family's 1533-position model. The record is from RNAcentral.